This 253-nucleotide ribosomal RNA is filed under the name uncultured bacterium. RNAcentral describes it as "partial 16S ribosomal RNA". It matches the Rfam family "Bacterial small subunit ribosomal RNA", at positions 524 to 776 of the family's 1533-position model. The record is from RNAcentral.
UACGUAGGGUGCGAGCGUUGUCCGGAAUUAUUGGGCGUAAAGAGCUCGUAGGUGGUCUGUCACGUCGGAUGUGAAAACUCGGGGCUCAACCCCGAGCCUGCAUUCGAUACGGGCAGACUAGAGUUCGGUAGGGGAGACUGGAAUUCCUGGUGUAGCGGUGAAAUGCGCAGAUAUCAGGAGGAACACCGGUGGCGAAGGCGGGUCUCUGGGCCGAUACUGACGCUGAGGAGCGAAAGCGUGGGGAGCAAACAGG